UACGAAGGGGGCUAGCGUUGCUCGGAAUCACUGGGCGUAAAGGGUGCGUAGGCGGGUUUUUAAGUCAGAGGUGAAAUCCUGGAGCUCAACUCCAGAACUGCCUUUGAUACUGAAAGUCUUGAGUAUGGGAGAGGUGAGUGGAACUGCGAGUGUAGAGGUGAAAUUCGUAGAUAUUCGCAAGAACACCAGUGGCGAAGGCGGCUCACUGGCCCAUUACUGACGCUGAGGCACGAAAGCGUGGGGAGCAAA
Molecule: ribosomal RNA, 249 nt
Filed under: uncultured bacterium
Lineage: Bacteria
Description: partial 16S ribosomal RNA
Rfam family: Bacterial small subunit ribosomal RNA
Source: RNAcentral